CUGGCCCCAGAAAGCAAUUCUUGAUUCCCUUACAGGAAAAGAAAGAAUGCCACAAUCCCACCGACUCAAAAGCAACUAGAAGCCAGGCACAGUGGCUCACUCCAAUAAUCCCAACACUUUGGGAGGUCCAGGUGGGAGGACUGCUUGAGGCCAGGAGUUCAAGGACAGCUUGGACAACAUAGAUAACUGCAGUCUCAGAGAAGACCCCCAGAAACCCAAAAUGCUUCCAGCCACAGAGGAGGAGAGCAGCUGGCAGCCAGAAGCAUCCAUUCCAACUGAGAGACAUCGAAGGGAACAAGGCUUAACCGCCUUGUCUUUGAACAGCACUAAAUGAUUCAGCAAAAGGGAUGAGAGGAAACCUUUGGCCAUGUCACGGGUUCACAGCCAUCUGUAUAUGUUCCUAUAGUCCUGCUUUGUACCUCCAGCCUAAAUGAUGGGGAGGUCGUUUGAAGAUGAGACUGACCCUUCACUACAUGUGCUGCUUCCAACCCCAGAUUCCAUCAGGCUGCACUUCUGAGAUUCAGUGAACUCCCACUCAUCCUUCAAAACCUAUCUCAAUGUCGCUGCCAUAGCAAAGCCUUCCCUGGCCCCCUCGGGUAGGGAGGGUCUCUCUGUCCACUGGCAGGCCAAGAAGGCCAAGCUCUGCCCUCUGAGAAUCCAUCAGUGUCCCAAGCUGACUUUCCCUAGCCUCGUAUCCCUUCAUUCCAUGAAAGGGGAACUUAGGGUGGAGUGGAAAUUUUGAUCACCUAAAGGAACAAUAAUUGCUUUCAUUCAUUCAUUUAAACAAUAUGUAUUGAGCACCUACCAAGGACCAGGCCUUGUGCUAAGUGCCCCCACAGAGGUCACAAUAGUCAUAUACUACAAACAAAUACAGCAUCACAAAGGUUGGCGCAUGAAGAGACAGCAGCUAAGGGCAUGGUCCUGGAGCCAGAAUGCCUGGAUUUGAAUCACAGCUCUACUACUUCCCAGCAGCUUGUUGAGCUUAGCCAAGUCUCUAAACCCCUCUGAGCCUCAGCUUUAUCACCUGUAAAAUAGGGAUAAAAA
Molecule: long non-coding RNA, 1044 nt
Filed under: Pan troglodytes (chimpanzee)
Lineage: Eukaryota; Metazoa; Chordata; Mammalia; Primates; Hominidae
Description: long non-coding RNA NONPTRT011568
Source: RNAcentral